Molecule: long non-coding RNA, 2881 nt
Filed under: Olea europaea (common olive)
Lineage: Eukaryota; Viridiplantae; Streptophyta; Magnoliopsida; Lamiales; Oleaceae
Description: long non-coding RNA (OEUR_LNC015314)
Source: RNAcentral
UCGAGUUCCAAUACCCUCCGAAGAAGGACGAUGCAGUCAAUAUGAUUUGGAGACAGUUACGGCACAAACUUCCUGCAAUCAAGCUUUCUGUACACAGAAAUAGGAGGCUCAAAAUACCAGAUUGGUGGUGAUAUUUGUUUAAAAACCUGCAUUUGCCACUUGAAUAUUCAUAGUUAAAUUUUUGCAAAUGCAAGUACAUAGAUAGCAUUCUAGGUACACGGCAGGACACUACUAGACAUUAUGAUAAAUAAAAUUUUUGCUACUUGCUCUUUACUUCUUUUUAAUAUUGUCGAGUACAGCCUAUCAAAUAUGCCAAGAUAGUUGAAACUAAAAACAUGAAAGAAUUUGACCCGGGAGGCUGUUCGGGUCAUGGAUCCGGAUGAUGCUGACUUGUUCUUUGUGCCUUUUUUCUCUUCGCUCAGUUUUAAUAUUCAUGGCCUCAAUAUGAGUGAUCCAAAUACUGUUGAUCAGAAGUUGCAGGUACACAUAGUUUAAUUUAAAUUUCUUCUUAUUAUUGGAUAAUCUGUUUGUUUGUUGUAUACAUAAUUCAAAUUAAGAUUACUCUUGUGCAUUUCUUGAAUUAACCAUAGAGAAUGCUUCGUCAUUGGAUAACUGAAUGUGAAAUUGAGUCUCUUUGUGAUGGGUUUUGCAUUGCUCAUGAAUUUGCUUCACUGUACUUGUUCUUGAAAUCCUGCAAAUUUGAAUAUUUAAAGAACACUGACCAUCCGAAAUUAAUUUUUGAAUUUUCUUGUUUCAGAUAGAAUCCCUUUCAGAUUGUCCAUAUAUUCACUAGUAAGCUUAAGUAUUGGGCUUGUUAUUAGUUAAUAAGAUGUAACUAGGAUGUACUUUUUCUGUAUGACUUGUGACUACUUCACGCUAAUUUUACAAUUGGGGGUGAUGCUUUACUGAUGUCCUUUCAACUCCUUAAUUCAUCUUUUCGCUUGUUUACAGCUCAAAACUUAACAAAUUUUGCCUUCUGAUGGUUAAAUCAAAGAGGUGGUAAAUGCUACCAUGUUAUUUAUUUUACUUUAUUCUGUUUAUUUCUUGGAUAAGUUUUUAGCACUUUUGGCAUAUUUUGUCAGGAGUAUGGAUAUGGGAAAAUAUAGUUCAUUUUAUUGCCCACUCUUGUUGAGUAACAUAUGCCCAACAUUCACCUUUGUAAUCUCCUUGAUUACAUUAUAGCACAAAAACUUCACCCGCAAAUAGAUUUGGCUCUCACAUUGAGGCUGAACCACAAUAAACCUAUAUAUUUGCUGUGGGUAUUUCUGAUUUCAUUAUGUUUAUUGUUGCUCUAGGAGUUAGUGAUUUAGGUUUAAAUCAUUACAAAGUUUUAAUUGUUUGCUUACGAUGGAACCAAUUUAUUGCUCUGAAUGAUGGAUGGAUGGAAUGAACAAAUACUAAUGUAUUUAUGGAUUCCACCAAAAGUCUUUUUCUCAUUCUAAAGAGUUGAUCAUCAAUGCUUCUUAUUGCAGCGUGAUAUGGUCAAAAUCUUAAGAUCGUCCAAUCAGUGGAUAAAAUCUGGCGGACGAGACCAUAUAAUCCCCUUGCAUCAUCCAAAUGCUUUCAGACAUUAUCGUGAUAAGGUGAAUUCUUCCAUAUUCAUCAUUGCUGAUUUCGGUCGCACAAUGAACAUAGCUAAACUUGCAAAAGAUGUCGUCGCCCCUUAUGCACACAUGGUGGAAUCAUAUUUCAAUGAUGAUGAAGAGGACCCGUACGAUACUCGUAAGACACUUCUCUUCUUCCGUGGGAGGACUAAAAGGAAAGAGGUACGCCAAUCUAACAGAAAGGAUCAUAUCAGUACUUUUACUUCAUGUAAUAAAGUAUUUUUCUGACAUGUUGAUGUUUGCAGGAGGGAAAGGUUCGUAUGAAACUGCACAAGAUGUUAGUUGGAACACCGGAUGUCAUAUACGAGGAGGGCGAUGCAUCAGAAGAAGGUUUUAAAACUGUAAGUUUCUAGUGAUUAUCUCUGUUCUGCAAAUAUAAAAUGGAUUUUAGGCUGCAUUAUUUUAUUUCAAUAAUGAUAUCUACUACGCCAUUGCACUGUCUAAUCCAUAUAUUCUUCUCAAUGCACUAGUGAUUUUCACUUUUUAUUUGCAGUCUCUGUCACUAACCUCUGCUUUUGCUUUUCUUCACCUUUAUUCUCUAUAUGCUUGCAUUUAACAUCUGCAUUCACUUGGCUUUUUAACUCAGUACUGAUAUUGUGACGUUGUGAACAAACAUUGUGUUUAUUUUCAAGAAUCUCCUAUAAUUGUUAAAUCAGAUUUGCGGAUUUGUCUCAUACAUCUUGCAUUUCUUGCUCAAAUUAGUCCACUGAAGGAAUGCGUUCGUCUAAGUUCUGUCUGCAUCCUGCUGGGGAUACUCCAUCAUCUUGUCGUCUGUUUGAUGCUAUAGUGAGCCACUGCAUUCCUGUUAUUGUGAGUGACAGAAUCGAGCUACCCUUUGAAAAUGAACUCGACUACAAGGAGUUCUCAAUCUUCUUUUCAGUUAACGAGGCAUUGACACCAUCCUAUAUGCUCACUCGGCUCAGGGGGAUUACCGAACAUGAAUGGAUGAAAAUGUGGAGACAGCUUAAAAGCAUUUCUCAUCACUUCGAGUUCCAAUACCCUCCGAAGAAGGACGAUGCAGUCAAUAUGAUUUGGAGACAGUUACGGCACAAACUUCCUGCAAUCAAGCUUUCUGUACACAGAAAUAGGAGGCUCAAAAUACCAGAUUGGUGGUGAUAUUUGUUUAAAAACCUGCAUUUGCCACUUGAAUAUUCAUAGUUAAAUUUUUGCAAAUGCAAGUACAUAGAUAGCAUUCUAGGUACACGGCAGGACACUACUAGACAUUAUGAUAAAUAAAAUUUUUGCUACUUGCUCUUUACUUCUUUUUAAUAUUGUCG